Molecule: long non-coding RNA, 3893 nt
Organism: Gallus gallus (chicken)
Lineage: Eukaryota; Metazoa; Chordata; Aves; Galliformes; Phasianidae
Exons: 4
Source: RefSeq, a predicted model, not a curated record
UGCUAGGGGCUGCCAACCUGGAUAGGGGACCUGGCUGUCAGGAAGUUAAUUAUAUGUUUCCUUUUUUUUUUUUUUUAAACAAUAAAGGUUAAAAGCAAACAGGCAAAAACUUGGUUAUGCACACACUUGAACAUGUAUGUAUAGGCAUGCAGUCUCAUCUCCAGGCAUGCACGUUGAAAUUCCCAGCACCUGGUGUGGAUGUGGGGGCUCUGUAGGUCCCACACCCCUUUGACUCUGCCAGCACCAGCAAAAGCCAAAGCUGAGCAGCAGCGCAAGAGUAGCCAUGUUGUCACUGGAAAGGUGCUGGUCCAGCAUGCAGGAGCUUAGAGACCUGAAAGUUGUGGUACAGGGUUGGCCUUAUCCAUAAGUUGUAUGUUGGGAAUAAGAGCCAAGCAGGAGGUAACUGGUCAAAAAUAUGCUUUUUUUUUUUUUUUUCUCAGAACUGACACUUUCUCAGCAGACAUCACUUCUUAGCUUUCUUCAAACCUCUCCCUUUCUGUCUUUGGAUAAUUGCCUCUCAUUUCUUAGAGUGAAAGCCUGAAGUACUCUCUUUAUUUAUUUUAAUUUUAACGUUGCCACCAUUAUCGUCAGACCAAGCAAAUGAUGGCAAAAAGCAGAAGCAGUCACCAAGGCCCUUUUAUCUCAGCUUUAGUCUCUGCUAACUACAAAUCACAGUAGAGGAGUUAAAUUUAAUGCAGCUGAUCUGAGAGGAAAGAGGAGAAGGGAAUUGGCAAAUGUAUGUGUUAGUGAAACAUAAUGGUAGAAAAGGUCUCUAAAAAGAUGGCUUCCAAAGCUUUUAUAAGCACAAUUGUGAAUAUAUUUCAGUUUUAUCUUUCCCUGUUAAAAAGUGCAAGAAAAUAAACGGGGAUGUCAACCUAAACAACCGCUAGCAUUGUUGCGCAGAGGGAAAAUAUUGUAAUUAGGAUAUCAGAUCUCUAAAAUGUCUUAUCCAGAUCAGCAGAACUUAGCUGAAAUGGCUUGUUUCACUCUAUUAUAAAGAGUAUAUUUAACUUGACCAUUUAUGAAUAGCUAAUAUGUUUCUAAUAUGACUGCUUUUUAGACAUCACAUUUGCAAAUGACUCAUCCACUCUUUUUUAUUAUUAUUAUUACUACUAGUCCUUUAAAAAUAAUUAACACAAAUAAAUCAAGUAGACUAUUUAAUAUAAUGAAUUCACAAGCAGAUGAAGUAAUUAUUUUGGAAAUUAUUAUAGCAAAUUGAGGUUUUCUUUAUUUUACCAGUGGGGUUUUUUACAUGGGAAAAGCCAAAUUUUUAUGACAGCUGGCUGCUUGUAUACAAUUAUAGCUGGUGCAUAUCUGUAAACUUGUUACCUACAUUUGUAAGCCGAAUCUAUGUAUUUUUCUCUCGCUCUGCUGAAGAAUUAUUAACAUAUAUAGAAAUUGCCAUAAAAAAAAAAGUUAAAAUAAAACACAAGCAUAGAGGACUAUGAAGAGUCACUGGAGAACUUUCUGUGGCUUCCACUAAAACUGUGUCCAUUGACUGGGGUUUAAAGCAAACUGAAUAAAGUCUUGUCAACUACUUAGAACUAUAAUAUAUAUAUUAAUAUUCUGACUUUACAAUGGCCAGGAAGCUUUCUGGUUAUUACAGCUAUAUUUGCUUAUGGGCAAAUAUAUUUACUGAAGGUGUUAAAUUGCCAGUGAAUACUGUGCCAAAUAUCUGAUGAAAACAAAUGCAAUGUAACAAAACCUUUAAGUAUUCUUGAUGAAGCAGGGUAUGUAAAUUUUGGUUGCCAAAAUUGUGGGCCAAAUUUUAUAGGGCUUAAUGACAUGAGAAAUAGACCGAAACUAAGGAACUGUAGAUACCCCAUCUGUGGAAGUGUUCAGGGUCAGACUGGAUGGGGCCUUGAGCCACCUGGUCUAGUGGAAGAUGUUCCUGAUGAUGGCAGGGGAUUGGAUUAGGUGGGUUUUUGGACUCAGUGAUAUCUAGAGGUCUUUUCUAACCAUUGCAGUUCUGUCUUCAAGUGCCCUUUUCCAUGUAAUCCAUUCUGUAAUUCAUCCUAUGAUUAAAAUGCCUGUGAGAUGCAGGCAACUCACUAGUAUCAAAGACCUAGUUAUUUCUGAAGUAGUAUAUUCCCAGGAAUGUCAUGUACCAGUAUCUUUGUAUCCAAAUAAACUUCUGCUCCUGCUCAACCCUGGAAGCAGGACAUACUGUCCAUUCGGGGGUGCUGAGUUCACCACUGCUGACUUGUAUGAAUUAGUCUUCCAGACUACCACCUGUGGGUCUUGACAUUUGCAGAGCACAACCCGUGUCUUACUUCCAUCACCCACUGGAGAUGCCAGCAACUAUGCACUGGGGAGGCUGUGCAGGCAUACCUAAAUUUGUCCACCAGCCCCAUGCCCAGCUGUGUCACUGAACAUUAUUUGCAGGCCUUUAAAGCAAGCAGGCGGGGAUUAAAAUUUGUCAGUGCCUGUGAGGAGCUGCAAAGAGAAACAAUUUCUGGUCCUGGACACUUCACGAGGCCGGUUGUGCAUGGUGGCAUGCAGUGCCCAGGCCUUCCUUGCGCUGUGAUCCCACAGACAAGAUCUGAGCUACCUGACUUUGUUUUCCACUCUAUUAGCUGCUUCAGGAAAUGACACAGCUUGAAGACACCUACUGGGACAUCUUCUGUUCUUUCCCCAUGAUCUUCCUAUGUCACAGUUAGUGAUGGCCUUUGAGGUUUGUUGCUAAACAGCUUUGGAAGAGGCCUGACUCAAUGUAUUGUGGGGUUGCUCUGGAACCAUAGCUGCCAGCCCGGCUGGCCUUGGGAUUUUCCAUUUGCAACACUUCCUCCAUUUAUGAGGAGGGGGGAAAAAAAAACCAACAGAGUAACAAAACAGCAACUGAAAAUUGUAACAGCAAUUACUGUAGCCUUUCAGCAGAAAUUGAAGGGGUAAAAUUUGGACGCUUCAAAAACCUAUAAAUAGAGCAUCCAGAGCAGAAAGGUACAGGAAGGAAGAGGAAGCCUCUAAUAAAUUACAGAUCUUUAAAGGAUCCAAGUAGAGGGAGGAAAAAAGCCAACAACAGGAAAGUUUAAAAGAAGCCCAUACUGAAUAUUAUAAAUUCACGUGAGAAGGGCCUUUCUUCUCUUGGUGUAGAAAGACACAAAUGUUUUGGUAUACCAUCCUCAUGUAGGGAAAAGGUUGAGGCUUAAAUAGUCCACAACUGCUUUUGUUGUAUUGUGAUUAACAAGUCAUGCUGUUAAAAUUGUAUUAAAUGGGACUCAUGCCUUCUUGCUGUCACCAUUUUCAGAGCAAUUGCUUCUCAUUCAGCUUGCUCGUCCACUGAGAACCUGGCACUCAACGAAACGCAAAGUAUUAUUUAAGUUAAUAAAACAUCCUUGUUCCAAAUACCUACUGCUGUGAAAUGUGAACAAAGGAGGGACACCAGGUCCCAUUCUGUGUGCAGAAACCCAGAUGAAAUAGAUUCCAGUGUGAUUUUGUUUACAGUUGUCAUGGAAAUCCAGCUUCCCUCUGUGUGGUGCCAGGGAAGGCAAACACCUCCCUGCACACGCCCCAGUCACUACCAGCAAAGCCUCUCUGAAAAUUAUCUCUUAUGAAGCUGUGUCAUUAAUGGCUUCCUGCGAGGUUUCUUUUGGAAGCGGCAGAAAGUAUUCUUUAACUGUUGGUGUUGUCAGACUGCAACUUAGAAAUUAAAUGAUAAUUCUGAGAAAACAUACAACUACAAGGACACAUCAAGACGGGAAAUCUGUUUACUUAAUUACCUGCUGUUACUGAGGAAACUUGGUUUCAUUUUGAGGAUCUUCAGUUUACAGGUACUUUCUUAUCAUUGGAACAAAGACAAUUCUACCCAUGCAGAGAGAUUCAUGGCUUCCCUUUGCUUGAUACGAAGUUUAGCCCUGAAAAGGUUUCUAGGCAGAGGUAAGUAGGAAUAGAGA